Long non-coding RNA from Tarenaya hassleriana, 388 nucleotides. RefSeq lists it as uncharacterized. NCBI's taxonomy places the organism in Eukaryota, Viridiplantae, Streptophyta, Magnoliopsida, Brassicales, Cleomaceae. The transcript has 3 exons. The record is from RefSeq and is a predicted model, not a curated record.
GCGGGAUACGGGUGUCACACUUCUGGUGUCUGUGUUUUUUCUGGAAUGAGUCCAAACCUUUUUUUGGUCCAAUGGUGCUGCCGGAUCAACAUGGUCAGCCACCAGGUGGCAGACGAUCCGGUGCCUGGCACAUGCGCCAGUCUCAGAUGCUCCUGAGGGGGCAUAGUUAUCGUUACCCACCUGGUAGGGUCAUGCCCGACGCAUAUCAUAUGAUGGGAAUGCCCUUUGCCCCAGCCUCUAUCAACUGCCGCACUGACUUCUGCUCGAGCUAAUGCAACACCUGCCCAUCAGAGGACGUGAGGAUUUAUGCAGCAAAAGUGACUGGGAAAAUGCUUCUGGAGAUGGGCCAGACAGAGUUGUUGCAUCUGAUGGAAUCACCAGAUGCUUU